AUACGAAGGGGGCUAGCGUUGUUCGGAAUUACUGGGCGUAAAGCGCGCGUAGGCGGACUGAUCAGUUAGGGGUGAAAUCCCAGGGCUUAACCCUGGAACUGCCCUUGAUACUGGCGAUCUCGAGUCCGGGAGAGGUGAGCGGAAUUCCUAGUGUAGAGGUGAAAUUCGUAGAUAUUAGGAGGAACACCAGUGGCGAAGGCGGCUCACUGGCCCGGUCCUGACGCUGAGGUGCGAAAGCGUGGGGAGCAAACAGGAUUAGAAACCCUAGUAGUCC
This 274-nucleotide ribosomal RNA is filed under the name uncultured bacterium. RNAcentral describes it as "partial 16S ribosomal RNA". It matches the Rfam family "Bacterial small subunit ribosomal RNA", at positions 523 to 796 of the family's 1533-position model. The record is from RNAcentral.